This 1382-nucleotide ribosomal RNA is filed under the name uncultured bacterium. RNAcentral describes it as "bacterial SSU rRNA". It matches the Rfam family "Bacterial small subunit ribosomal RNA", at positions 18 to 1395 of the family's 1533-position model. The record is from RNAcentral.
CCUGGCUCACGAUGAACGCUAGCUACAGGCUUAACACAUGCAAGUCGAGGGGCAGCAUGGUCUUAGCUUGCUAAGGCCGAUGGCGACCGGCGCACGGGUGAGUAACACGUAUCCAACCUGCCGUCUACUCUUGGACAGCCUUCUGAAAGGAAGAUUAAUACAAGAUGGCAUCAUGAGUCCGCAUGUUCACAUGAUUAAAGGUAUUCCGGUAGACGAUGGGGAUGCGUUCCAUUAGAUAGUAGGCGGGGUAACGGCCCACCUAGUCUUCGAUGGAUAGGGGUUCUGAGAGGAAGGUCCCCCACAUUGGAACUGAGACACGGUCCAAACUCCUACGGGAGGCAGCAGUGAGGAAUAUUGGUCAAUGGGCGAGAGCCUGAACCAGCCAAGUAGCGUGAAGGAUGACUGCCCUAUGGGUUGUAAACUUCUUUUAUAAAGGAAUAAAGUCGGGUAUGGAUACCCGUUUGCAUGUACUUUAUGAAUAAGGAUCGGCUAACUCCGUGCCAGCAGCCGCGGUAAUACGGAGGAUCCGAGCGUUAUCCGGAUUUAUUGGGUUUAAAGGGAGCGUAGAUGGAUGUUUAAGUCAGUUGUGAAAGUUUGCGGCUCAACCGUAAAAUUGCAGUUGAUACUGGAUAUCUUGAGUGCAGUUGAGGCAGGCGGAAUUCGUGGUGUAGCGGUGAAAUGCUUAGAUAUCACGAAGAACUCCGAUUGCGAAGGCAGCCUGCUAAGCUGCAACUGACAUUGAGGCUCGAAAGUGUGGGUAUCAAACAGGAUUAGAUACCCUGGUAGUCCACACGGUAAACGAUGAAUACUCGCUGUUUGCGAUAUACUGCAAGCGGCCAAGCGAAAGCGUUAAGUAUUCCACCUGGGGAGUACGCCGGCAACGGUGAAACUCAAAGGAAUUGACGGGGGCCCGCACAAGCGGAGGAACAUGUGGUUUAAUUCGAUGAUACGCGAGGAACCUUACCCGGGCUUAAAUUGCAGAUGAAUUACGGUGAAAGCCGUAAGCCGCAAGGCAUCUGUGAAGGUGCUGCAUGGUUGUCGUCAGCUCGUGCCGUGAGGUGUCGGCUUAAGUGCCAUAACGAGCGCAACCCUUGUUGUCAGUUACUAACAGGUUCCGCUGAGGACUCUGACAAGACUGCCAUCGUAAGAUGUGAGGAAGGUGGGGAUGACGUCAAAUCAGCACGGCCCUUACGUCCGGGGCUACACACGUGUUACAAUGGGGGGUACAGAGGGCCGCUACCACGCGAGUGGAUGCCAAUCCCCAAAACCUCUCUCAGUUCGGACUGGAGUCUGCAACCCGACUCCACGAAGCUGGAUUCGCUAGUAAUCGCGCAUCAGCCACGGCGCGGUGAAUACGUUCCCGGGCCUUGUACACACCGCCC